This 225-nucleotide long non-coding RNA is filed under the name Mytilus galloprovincialis (Mediterranean mussel). The record is from RNAcentral. Lineage: Eukaryota; Metazoa; Mollusca; Bivalvia; Mytilida; Mytilidae.
UGUCAGUCACCAAGAUCGGUUUUUUGUUGUUUGUGUGAGAGGUGCUUCAUUAGAUCGAAGCCAUGUUCAAACCAAAGACUUCAAAAUUAGUAUUUUGCUGCUUCUCCGCCAAGUACAUUGCAUUCACAGCCUAAACGCUGACCGAUCUGUAAUAACGGUGGCUUGUAUACAUGCGGACAGUUUUCAUAUGAGCUAUCUAUUUCUGUUAAUAUUCUGUAUGAGUUU